Molecule: long non-coding RNA, 546 nt
Filed under: Olea europaea subsp. europaea
Lineage: Eukaryota; Viridiplantae; Streptophyta; Magnoliopsida; Lamiales; Oleaceae
Source: RNAcentral
GUACCAGCAUUACUGUGUUUGUUGAAUCUGACUGAUUAAGUACACACUGUCAUCAGUCUAACCACGUUUAGUGUGAAAUUCAUGAUAUCGCAAAGCAUCCACUUCGUGCUUUCUGUCAAUAGCUAUCAUCUAAUAGGAUAUGCUUUAUCUUUCUUAUACAGUGACAUACCUAUGGCACAAUUUAUCAUCAACAUGAAUGCUGCACUGCCUCAAGCAGAUAAGUUCAUUAUUCAAGUAUUGGAUAACACUCAUCUUUUUGUGCGAUCAGACGUGGCUGGGAUGAUACGAAGCGCCAUUGCAUCAUUCAGAGAGCAAAAUACCUAUGAGAAGCCUUCUUAAUCUGUGUAAGGAUCAUUGCUGCAUUCCUAACGUAAUGAUGCCCAUGCUUUUCAAGUAUGUACAAUCUUGUUUGUUUAUUUGGACCUAAAUUUUACGAACUAAACCUACAUUGAGGCCAAGUAUUGCUAUUUCUAUUCUAAUUUUGAGUACAGUUCUUGAAAAAAAUUGAACUUCACAGGGUUGGUGUGCGUUUGUUUUGCUAUUUCA